RNAcentral lists this ribosomal RNA (1013 nucleotides) under uncultured beta proteobacterium. Its description in RNAcentral is "bacterial SSU rRNA". It matches the Rfam family "Bacterial small subunit ribosomal RNA", at positions 497 to 1504 of the family's 1533-position model. The record is from RNAcentral. Lineage: Bacteria; Pseudomonadati; Pseudomonadota; Betaproteobacteria.
CUAACUACGUGGCCAGCAGCCGCCGUAAUACGUAGGGUGGCGAGGCGUUAAUCGGAAUUACUGGGCGUAAAGCGUGCGCAGGCGGUUUAGUAAGACAGGCGUGAAAUCCCCGGGCUCAACCCUGGGAACUGCGCUUGUGACUGCUAAGCUAGAGUACGGCAGAGGGGGGUGGAAUUCCACGUGUAGCAGUGAAAUGCGUAGAGAUGUGGAGGAACACCGAUGGCGAAGGCAGCCCCCUGGGCCGAUACUGACGCUCAUGCACGAAAGCGUGGGUAGCAAACAGGAUUAGAUACCCUGGUAGUCCACGCCCUAAACGAUGUCAACUAGGUGUUGGGAGGGUAAAACCUUUUAGUACCGGAGCUAACGCGUGAAGUUGACCGCCUGGGGAGUACGGCCGCAAGGUUAAAACUCAAAGGAAUUGACGGGGACCCGCACAAGCGGUGGAUGAUGUGGAUUAAUUCGAUGCAACGCGAAAAACCUUACCUACCCUUGACAUGUCCAGAAGCUCUUAGAGAUUUGAGUGUGCCCGAAAGGGAGCUGGAACACAGGUGCUGCAUGGCUGUCGUCAGCUCGUGUCGUGAGAUGUUGGGUUAAGUCCCGCAACGAGCGCAACCCUUGUCGUUAAUUGCCAUCAUUUAGUUGGGCACUUUAACGAGACUGCCGGUGACAAACCGGAGGAAGGUGGGGAUGACGUCAAGUCCUCAUGGCCCUUAUGGGUAGGGCUUCACACGUCAUACAAUGGUCGGUACAGAGGGUUGCCAAGCCGCGAGGUGGAGCCAAUCCCAGAAAGCCGAUCGUAGUCCGGAUUGCAGGCUGCAACUCGCCUGCAUGAAGUCGGAAUCGCUAGUAAUCGCGGAUCAGCAUGUCGCGGUGAAUACGUUCCCGGGUCUUGUACACACCGCCCGUCACACCAUGGGAGCGGGUUCCGCCAGAAGUAGGUAGCCUAACCGCAAGGGGGGCGCUUACCACGGCGGGGUUCGUGACUGGGGUGAAGUCGUAACAAGGUAACCAAU